Molecule: ribosomal RNA, 254 nt
Filed under: uncultured microorganism
Description: partial 16S ribosomal RNA
Rfam family: Archaeal small subunit ribosomal RNA
Source: RNAcentral
CACCGGCGGCUCGCGUGGUGGCCACUUUUAUUGGGUCUAAAGCGUCCGUAGCCGGCUUGGCAAGUCCCCUGGGAAAUCUGGCGGCUUAACCGUCAGGCGUCCAGAGGAUACUGCCAGGCUUGGGACCGGGAGAGGUGAGAGGUACCUCAGGGGUAGGGGUGAAAUCUUGUGAUCCCUGAGGGACCACCAGUGGCGAAGGCGUCUCACUAGAACGGGUCCGACGGUCAGGGACGAAAGCUGGGGGCACGAACCGG